CUGGCCAUCGUGCGGAGCUGGUCCUUCCCCUGGGCCGAGGGAAGGCGAUCAUUUUUAUUCAGCAAGCAGACAGCACUUUUUUCCCCCUCCCCAACUUGCUGGGCUGUCAUGUUUAAAUAUGAAAAUGUUGCUUAUAGCCAAAUGUUAGUGACAGCAGCCUGUGGCGUCUAUCAUUGUUUGCACUCUCACUCCUGCUAAAAAUAGGCUUGCUCUCUCUGGAUUCCUUCAAGUUCCACAUCUGCAGGAAGUUUUUGUUGCUGUUGCUGGCCUUUUCCUUUCUUUCCUGAAGAUUACUGUUCUUUGGCUCUGCCAGGGUCCCCUCCCUCUCCCCUUCCCGGGAAACCACCAAUAAACAUCCCAGGCUCAGAUGGUUCAACAAAGGCCUCACGGGUGUUCUCCGUUAUUGCCCCAGCCUCCCUUCUGCAGUCUUAGGAACCGAGGGAGGUGGGCAGCAGCAGGGCAGAAAGAGCCAUCUGACCUUCAGAAGCAAAGCCUGAAGUCUGAGGCUACAGGCCGGGCAGCCAGGAAGGGGGGAACCAGAAGGAUCGGCUUCUGGGACUCUCCAUGGAGCUCGCCAAGCAGACAGCUGCUCCCACCAGCAUUCUGGAAUCAUUCCGUCUUCUAGUCCCUUUUGGUUCCUAGAGAAAAUAAGUGAAUGAUUACUCCAUCACAGCCCAAAGCAUGGAGCCAUUUGAUUGUGGACCGGACACUCCUACACUGACACCUACACCAAAUGGAACUUGGCAGUGAGACGACCCGGCUUCCCUUGCUUGUAAAGGCUGGCAGUGUAAGGUGUAACCUCACUGGACAGCUUGUGCACACUCCCUGGAGGGCGUUUUGGAGGUGGGCCGCAGUGCACAGAUACCCACGUGUAAGAUAAGAGAGGAUUAGGAUGCCAGUUUCCAGUUCUUGUCCAUCAUUUGGGGGGAACUCACAAUGCACACAUGAACAUAUUAGUACCUCUGUACGUGCUCAAACCUCACAGGUAGAUAUUAUGAGGGUGUGCUCACUCCCCCCUCAACUUUCGGAUAUGUAAUGAAAAACCUACUGAAACUGCA
Non-coding RNA from Peromyscus maniculatus bairdii (prairie deer mouse), 1058 nucleotides. The record is from RefSeq and is a predicted model, not a curated record. Lineage: Eukaryota; Metazoa; Chordata; Mammalia; Rodentia; Cricetidae.